UAUAUAUAUAUAUAUAUAUAGAAAAAGAUACUGAUUUGUCAUACUCAUAAUAUUCUUUUGAUGUACAAUAGGCAAUAUUGAUGUUCAUUAAAAGCUGGCCAUAUUUUUAAUGUAGAUUAAAUGGUAAAAUAGCUUUAAUAAUAGAGCUUGCUUGCAUGGUUACUUCUGUACAUUAAAGAAGCAAGAUAGAAUCCUGUAGGCAACUGGGCAUCCAACAGUCAUAACAUAUGGGCAAUUGUCUGAUCCCCUUAUCCCCGUGCAAGCCUGCCUCUUAUAUCCUUUUCACUAACAGAGUUUCCCCCUUCAUAUGCAG
This 313-nucleotide unclassified non-coding RNA is filed under the name Hevea brasiliensis (rubber tree). Lineage: Eukaryota; Viridiplantae; Streptophyta; Magnoliopsida; Malpighiales; Euphorbiaceae. The record is from RNAcentral.